UGGCUCAGAACGAACGCUGGCGGCGCGUUUAAGCAUGCAAGUCGAGCGGCAAGGGCCUUCGGGCCCUAGAGCGGCGGACGGGUGAGUAACACGUGGACAAUCUGCCCCCCGGCCCGGGAUAGCCCAGGGAAACCUGGAUUAAUACCGGAUGAGACGGGACCCGCGAUGGCGGGAUCCGGGAAAGGCGCUGCGGCGCCGCCGGGGGAUGAGUCUGCGUCCCAUUAGCUAGACGGCGGGGUAACGGCCCACCGUGGCGACGAUGGGUAGCCGGCCUGAGAGGGUGGACGGCCACAUUGGAACUGAGACACGGUCCAGACUCCUACGGGAGGCAGCAGCUAAGAAUCUUCCGCAAUGGGCGAAAGCCUGACGGAAGCGACGCCGCGUGAACGAAGAAGGCCGUGAGGUUGUAAAGUUCUUUUCGGGAGGGGGAACAACCGUGGCAGGGAAUGGCCGCGGGAUGACGUGAAUCCCGGAAUAAGCCCCGGCUAACUACGUGCCAGCCGCCGC
This 507-nucleotide ribosomal RNA is filed under the name uncultured bacterium. RNAcentral's name for it is "bacterial SSU rRNA". It matches the Rfam family "Bacterial small subunit ribosomal RNA", at positions 20 to 518 of the family's 1533-position model. The record is from RNAcentral.